AAGUCGUAACAAGGUUUCCGUAGGUGAACCUGCGGAAGGAUCAUUAUCACGUUAAUCCACGUAUCAACCAUCUGUGAACCGUACCUCAACCUCUGGUGUUUCCUUGUGCUCCUCUUUUUCCUUUCUCUCUCUUCCUCUCACAGGGAGGUUGCGGAAGAAGAAGAAGAGUGCAAGGGAGGAUCCGAGCGUAUUUUACCUUUUUUUUUCUCUUCAAAAAAAAAAACCAUUAACCACUCUAACCAAAACCUUAUAACUUCAUGAACUAAUCUUUUUUUCAUACUCUUCGGAGAUGAAAUUCAUUACGAAACAAAGAACAACUCUUAGCAACGGAUAUCUUGGUUCUC
Molecule: unclassified non-coding RNA, 344 nt
Filed under: fungal sp.
Lineage: Eukaryota; Fungi
Description: partial internal transcribed spacer region
Rfam family: Eukaryotic small subunit ribosomal RNA (bases 1-46)
Source: RNAcentral